Molecule: long non-coding RNA, 2251 nt
Organism: Gadus morhua (Atlantic cod)
Lineage: Eukaryota; Metazoa; Chordata; Actinopteri; Gadiformes; Gadidae
Source: Ensembl
AGGUCUGCAGAUGCAGUUAAUCAGUUGGUUGCCAGCGAGUGGAAGCCGCACAGCCUGGCUCUCCGGCUCAACCUCAAACGCAUCACUGUUGCCGUUAUUGGGCCAUGCAUCGCCACGCCCACCAGCAGCUGCUGCCCACCUAGAGGCUCCGCCCUUCUCCCCCUCUCCCCCCCACCCCGCCCCCCCCACCCCUCCCCCAGGCUCGCUCGGCGCUCGCUAGGGUCCGCCGCCUGGAGGAUGCUUGGAAUGUGUCGCGGGCGCAGGAAGUUUCUGCUGGCCACCGUCGCCCUGCUCUUCAUCCCCGCCCUCACCUGGCUCUACCUCACGGCCGGGAACUUCCAAGGUGAGUUGAUGUUGACGUUGACGCGGGCCCUGAUUGGGUCGUUUGCGGGGGUCGGUAUUCCGCAGAGCAGUCACGCUGACCAGUUCUGACUGGUUUUACGUUUGCAUAAAACCAGUCACAACUGGUUUAGCCUCAAAGUAGCCUCUCUUAAAGGGCCCCUAGUCUACCAACAGUUGUGAUGUUUGAGCCAUUACGAACCGUUUCAAAAUCCUCCCGUUAUUGACUCCACUGGUGAAAUGAUGAGACAUUUUGAGCUGUUUCAAAACGUACCCGUUAGUGACAUCACAAGUGGGACCAUGCACACAGCCAGUAGGAUGGAUGGAUCAACCUACCACACUGUCUGGUGGACGGGCUGAUGGCAACCAGCCUGUCGUACCAACUGGCACGUGUGGUUAUUUACUAUUCACCCGCAAUUGAAGCGCAAAUAAUGUGCACCGUGGUAUUUGGCAGUGUGAGCGUUCACGGUUAGAAUCGGGGCUCAUAAUUGCUAAUCAACAUCCCACCCGGUGGUCGUUCAUUUUAUUUGCCCACCUGGUGCUCGCAACGGCGUUGAUAAGCCACGGCGGCGAGCCACUAAGCGGUGAUGUGUGUGCUGGGAUAACACCAAAGGAUUCGCCUCCCUGGUGGAAUUUGGCUUAAUCUUUUCAGUCGUUCAUCAAGAAGUACUUUCUAGUACUGCAACUUUCUUUCCCAACUGGCACGUCUGGUGGUGCAACACGGGCCCGUUGACGCCCCGAAAAUGUCACCAAGUAUAAUGUUUGUUGAGAUAUUUGUGGGACAGUGUGAAGAUUUCCGUUUUGGAAAAGAUUUAUGCACAACAUUAUAAGUCAGUGAGGAAGCACUUGAUUGUGCCUGCCGUGUUUCGAUGCAGUGAUUCCACAACAUAUCGGGGCUGCCUUCCAGCCAAACUAUUGCCGCCAGUCUUUUGACAUGACCUGUCAUUGACACGGACGCGCUCCACCGCACACACUGACAGCAGCGUUCUGGAUCUCCCGGUUUGGUUUUUCCACCAAAACAAUGUGUUAACAGCGGAAUAUCCUCUCUCUGGCACACCGCCAAACUGCUGUGUGUGGGGGGGGAGAAUUUUCUGCACGAAUGUCGUCGAUAUCAAUGUGUAAAGUAUUGAAGGAAGACCAAUUAUAAGUGCCUGUCAACUCAACAUUUUCUUUGUUUCUAUCCAUGUUGAUUCGAUGUCUGCUGAACCCAGUCCCUCAAAAUAUCUUUAAACCAGUAGAGGGAAAGUCCCGAAGAUUAAAAGACAUGAAUUUUAUACGUUAAAUAAGUAUUCAUAUAAAACAUUGAGGCUUUGUUAACGCUAUCGACAGAAUUUGAAUUUCACAAAAUGGCGUCCGUAGAAGUAUAUAUUUUUAAAUGAAACCCUAGGCAUAGUUAUACAAAUGAUAGUCAUUUUAUUCACCUUGCCUCGAUGGAAAGUCAGUUUCUCCUUUUUUUUUAUUAAUUUUUUUUGCUCCACGAUAAGAAGAACUCCCAGAAUAGCCUGGCUGGUUAUUUUCUUCCGAGGUGAAGGACUAAAUGAACUACUGGGGCCUGCCUGAAGUUGAUUACUUCGAGUCGUUCUGUCUUUUCUCUUUCCUUGCCUCGGCGCACUCUCAAAGCUAAUUUAAAAUGACUUUGUUUUGAAGAGACUGACAUUCUGCGCCAGUGCCAUUAUUAAUUAUGAUUAAUUUGACUGUUUUGACUUCGAGGGAUUGGGGGAGGGGGGGCCACAGUCAUGGGGAGGAGAACUUCCCAUGGCCCAAGUUGCCAAGGUCCUGGGGAGUAAUUAAUUUGAUUGGCAGUAAACUCAUGGCAGUAUGAAAGUAAUUUUUUUUUUUUUUUGGUUUGGGGGGGGGGGGGGGGGGGGGGGGGGGGGGGGGGGGGGGGGGGGGGGGGGGGGGGGGGGGGGGG